UACAGGGGGUGCAAACGUUGCUCGGAAUUAUUGGGCGUAAAGCGCGCGUAGGCGGCUACUUAAGUCGGAUGUGAAAGCCCCUGGCUCAACUGGGGAAGUGCACCCGAAACUGAGUGGCUUGAGUACAAAAGAGGGUCGCGGAAUUCCCGGUGUAGAGGUGAAAUUCGUAGAUAUCUGGAAGAACACCGGUGGCGAAGGCGGUCAACUGGCCCUGAACUGACGCUCAGGCACGAAAGCGUGGGGAUCAAACAGG
Molecule: ribosomal RNA, 253 nt
Filed under: uncultured bacterium
Lineage: Bacteria
Description: partial 16S ribosomal RNA
Rfam family: Bacterial small subunit ribosomal RNA
Source: RNAcentral